CAAAAACACAAGCCAAAAUCCCUCAUUCUCUCUCCUCUAUCUCGUCCAAACACUCCCCAAAUGGAAGAGUUCAUCUUCAACUUCAAAGCCUUCAAGAUUCUUUAUAAAAGUCCCUAUUGUUCUCUUCUAAAAUCCUCUCACAAUGCCUCUCUCUCCCUAAAUUCGAGAUUCCCCAAAUACACUCAAAGAAACAACCAUAUAAUCUCUCAAAACUCAGCUCCAAAGCAAUCUAAUACCACCCAUGUCAAGCCCAAAGACUUCCAAGCCAAAACUCCAUGGAUCUUUGGUUUCUUCUUCUUCUUAGCCUUUGAUUUUCAUGGGUAAGGACCUCUUGGUCUUUACUGAAAUAAUAAACUAAUUAAGAUGAAUUAUAUGUGUUUUAAUGAAUUAUAUGUUUGUGGUUUUAAUUUUGGG
RNAcentral lists this long non-coding RNA (414 nucleotides) under Erythranthe guttata (spotted monkey flower). Its description in RNAcentral is "long non-coding RNA (EGUT_LNC002018)". Lineage: Eukaryota; Viridiplantae; Streptophyta; Magnoliopsida; Lamiales; Phrymaceae. The record is from RNAcentral.